GACGAACCGUGCGAACGUUAUUCGGAAUCACUGGGCUUAAAGCGCGUGUAGGCGGGCCGGCACGUCGGUCGUUGAAAUCCCCCGGCUCAACCGGGGAAGCGGCGCCGAUACGACCGGCCUCGAGGGACGUAGGGGGGGCUGGAACUUCCGGUGGAGCGGUGAAAUGCGUUGAGAUCGGAAGGAACGCCCGUGGCGAAAGCGAGCCCCUGGACGUCUACUGACGCUGAGACGCGAAAGCCAGGGGAGCGAGCGGG
RNAcentral lists this ribosomal RNA (254 nucleotides) under uncultured bacterium. RNAcentral describes it as "partial 16S ribosomal RNA". It matches the Rfam family "Bacterial small subunit ribosomal RNA", at positions 524 to 776 of the family's 1533-position model. The record is from RNAcentral.